Molecule: long non-coding RNA, 922 nt
Organism: Neomonachus schauinslandi (Hawaiian monk seal)
Lineage: Eukaryota; Metazoa; Chordata; Mammalia; Carnivora; Phocidae
Exons: 3
Source: RefSeq, a predicted model, not a curated record
AGGAACGAGAACUUUUCCAAAUGUGGUGCCUUGAAGAUCUGGAAGGGCAUCAGUGACAGAGGAAGAAGGUGCCGGCUCAGACUCAAAAUCUGGACUUCCUUGCCUGGAUGCGUUACUCAAGGGCAGCUGGAACGACUCUCAAAUAUCCUAGUUCCCUCAUGGCGGGGAGCGGGAGGACCCUGCCGAGGUCUACAUGUUUUCCCUUGAAGUUGCUACAGCACCUGAAAUGCUUAUGAAUCUUCCAGUACUUUAAAAGCUCCCCAGGUAAUUCUCCUGUGGAGCCAAGCUUGAGAUCUCCUGGCGAGGCCAAGAGGAGGAACCUGAGAAUCAGGAGACCUGAAGCCAAAACCACCACUGAGUCAUCCUGCGAUCUUGGGCAAGUCAGUGAUUUCUCUGGCCUCGUUUUCUCAUCUGCAAAUUGGGAAUUCAGAAGUGGAGGGUUUGUUCCUAAGACCCAUUCCACAGGACUGACCCUGUUUGAAACAUCACUAGGCAUUCCCGGGUUCGGGUGGGUAGUGGGCACCUGGCUUGGGUCUGCUCUUUUCCUGACAGGUAGGGGGGAAGAGCCACCGAUCGCUCAGGCUUUCCUGUUCUUCCCACAUGUCCUUCUGCCCUCCCUUUUGCGCUGUCACCAGCCUCAGGAGGCAGCUAGGAGCUGUUGCGGCAGCGGGCGGGCUCCCUGCCCAUUUCAGGCUGCCGAGCUGGAGAGGGAUCUUGGGAGCCAUGGGCUGGGGCUGCUUUCAUGUCUCUGGAGAUGAUCUCUUUCAAGAAUGAAGGCGCUAUGCCCUUUGCAUUUUCUUGUCAGAAUCUCAUGCUGCAUUUUUGAGAGUACAUGUAGGAAUAUAUAAUUAAUGGUGAAAAAUAAACAUAAAUGCUGUUUCCCUGGUACUUAGCUGAGUGCUCUGGAGGAGCGGGACUCUCG